AACGAACGCUGGCGGCAUGCCUAACACAUGCAAGUCGAACGCGACCUUCUGGUCUAUUUGCGCACGGGAGCGUCACCGGUGGGAACCUUCCCGUAUGUUCGGACUAACUCCCCGCGAGGGGUGCUAAUACCAGAUAAUUUCUUCGGCCGAAUGAUGUAUUGGCUUAGGAUGGGCCCGUUUUGAAUUAGCUAUUUGGUCAGUUAAAAGUCUACCCAGGCUACGAUCCAUAGCUGGUCUGAGAGGAUGACCCGCCACACUGGGAGAGGGACCAGGCCCAGACUCCUACGGAAGGAAGCAGGGCGGAACAUGGGACGAUGGGCGAAAGAAUGAGCCAGCAAUGCCGCGUGAGUGAUGAAGGCCUGAGGGUUGUAAAGCUCUUUUAACCGGGAAGAUAAUGACAGUACCGGGAGAAUAAGCGACGGCUAACUCCGUG
RNAcentral lists this ribosomal RNA (433 nucleotides) under uncultured bacterium. Its description in RNAcentral is "partial 16S ribosomal RNA". It matches the Rfam family "Bacterial small subunit ribosomal RNA", at positions 29 to 507 of the family's 1533-position model. The record is from RNAcentral.